ACUCAUACCUUGCAGAAGAAAUACCAUGUCAUAAAAGUGGUUUUCCUUGGGGGGGAGGCUCAUCCAUUGUACUUUGGGUGUGUUGCUGAUCCCUAUGAUUUGCCCAAAUGUGGGAAUCUCAACUCAUAAUUUUGUUAAUUGGGGAUUGUCUUUGUCAUAUCCCUG
This 165-nucleotide small nuclear RNA is filed under the name Pogona vitticeps (central bearded dragon). RNAcentral's name for it is "U1 spliceosomal RNA (ENSPVIG00000021721.1)". It matches the Rfam family "U1 spliceosomal RNA". From Rfam's summary of the family: U1 is a small nuclear RNA (snRNA) component of the spliceosome (involved in pre-mRNA splicing). Its 5' end forms complementary base pairs with the 5' splice junction, thus defining the 5' donor site of an intron. Lineage: Eukaryota; Metazoa; Chordata; Lepidosauria; Squamata; Agamidae. The record is from Rfam by way of RNAcentral.